This 116-nucleotide ribosomal RNA is filed under the name Pteropus alecto (black flying fox). The record is from RNAcentral. Lineage: Eukaryota; Metazoa; Chordata; Mammalia; Chiroptera; Pteropodidae.
AUCUACGGCCAUAGCACCCUGGACGAGCCUGAUGUCUGAUCUCAGAAGCUAAGCAGGGUCGGGCCUGGUUAGUACUUGGAUGGGAGACCACCUGGGAAGACCAGGUGCUGUAGGCA